This is a non-coding RNA of Paramisgurnus dabryanus, 217 nucleotides long. The record is from RefSeq and is a predicted model, not a curated record. NCBI's taxonomy places the organism in Eukaryota, Metazoa, Chordata, Actinopteri, Cypriniformes, Cobitidae.
GGUGGCCUCCAAAUAAAUACAUGGACAGGCUGCUAAAGAGGGUCAGGAUGAUGGAGAUGCAAGAGCCAAAGACAGCACAGACCAAACACCAGGCCAGAAUUCUGCAUGAGUCAGAUUGAGUAAUUUUCACUCUAGAGACCCUGGGGUGACCACCAAGGACGAAUGCAAACUCCAGUGAGUGUCUUUUAAGAGCUAUCCCCUGAGUUUCUUUGUCUUC